RNAcentral lists this ribosomal RNA (428 nucleotides) under uncultured bacterium. RNAcentral describes it as "bacterial SSU rRNA". It matches the Rfam family "Bacterial small subunit ribosomal RNA", at positions 28 to 451 of the family's 1533-position model. The record is from RNAcentral.
GACGAACGCUGGCGGCGCGCCUAACACAUGCAAGUCGAACGAGCGAGAGAGAGCUUGCUUUCUCGAGCGAGUGGCGAACGGGUGAGUAACGCGUGAGGAACCUGCCUCAAAGAGGGGGACAACAGUUGGAAACGACUGCUAAUACCGCAUAAGCCCACGGGUCGGCAUCGACCAGAGGGAAAAGGAGCAAUCCGCUUUGAGAUGGCCUCGCGUCCGAUUAGCUAGUUGGUGAGGUAACGGCCCACCAAGGCAACGAUCGGUAGCCGGACUGAGAGGUUGAACGGCCACAUUGGGACUGAGACACGGCCCAGACUCCUACGGGAGGCAGCAGUGGGGAAUAUUGCACAAUGGGGGAAACCCUGAUGCAGCGACGCCGCGUGGAGGAAGAAGGUCUUCGGAUUGUAAACUCCUGUUGUUGGGGAAGAUAA